GGAUACCGGGUACGGAACUGGUGCAGGGUACGGCACUCAUACAAAACCUGGUGUUGUUGAGCACCACGGCGUCCCUGCUGUGCUUCAUUCCAAGGAUGACCAGUACUCUCGUGAUACCCAGACAACCACUGGAGGUUACGGUGGGGACGGGUACACAGGAGGAGAGCACCAGGAGAAGAAGGGUUUACUAGGCCAACUCCAGGACAAGCUGCCAGGUGGGAACAAGGAUGGCCAGUACUCUCAUGACACCCAGACAACCACUGGAGCUUACGGUGGGGCCGGCUACACAGGAGGAGAGCACCACGAGAAGAAGGGUAUAAUAGGCCAAGUUAAGGACAAGCUGCCAGGUGGGCAAAAGGAUGACCAGUACUGUCGUGACACCCACCCAACCACUGGAGCUUACGGUGGCGCCGGCUACACAGGAGGAGAGGACCACGAGAAGAAGGGUAUAAUAGGCCAAGUCAAAGACAAGCUGCCAGGUGGGCAAAAGGAUGACCAGUACUGUCGUGACACCCACCCAACCACUGGAGCUUACGGUGGGGCCGGCUACACAGGAGGAGAGCACCAGGAGAAGAAGGGUAUAAUAGGCCAAGUUAAGGACAAGCUGCCAGGUGGGCAAAAGGAUGAUCAGUACUCUCAUGACACCCACAAAACUACUGGAGCUUACGGUGGGGCCGGAUACACAGGAGAUGAUACCCGGGAGAAGAAGGGUAUAAUAGGCCAAGUGAAGGACAAGCUGCCAGGUGGGCAAAAGGAUGACCAUUACUCUCAUGACACCCACCCAACAACUGGAGCUUACGGUGGGGCCGGGUACACAGGAGAUGAUACCCGGGAGAAGAAGGGUAUAAUAGACCAAGUAAAGGACAAGCUGCCGGGUGGGCAAAAGGAUGACCAUUACUCUCAUGAGACCCACCCAACCACUGGAGCUUACGGUGGGGCAGGGUACACAGGAGAUGAUACACGGGAGAAGAAGGGUGUAGUGGAGAAAGUGAAGGAGAAGCUGCCAGGUGGGCAAAAUGUGCACCCAACCACUGGACCUUACGGUGGGGGUGGGGCCGCGGGCAUAGGAGAGACCCGGGAGAGGAAGGGUGUAGGGGAGAAAGUGAAGGAGAAGCUGCCAGGUGGACAUAAGGAUGACCAGUAC
RNAcentral lists this long non-coding RNA (1144 nucleotides) under Prunus persica (peach). RNAcentral's name for it is "long non-coding RNA (PPER_LNC007441)". The record is from RNAcentral. Lineage: Eukaryota; Viridiplantae; Streptophyta; Magnoliopsida; Rosales; Rosaceae.